Molecule: ribosomal RNA, 736 nt
Filed under: Endogone pisiformis
Lineage: Eukaryota; Fungi; Mucoromycota; Endogonomycetes; Endogonales; Endogonaceae
Description: eukaryotic LSU rRNA
Rfam family: Eukaryotic large subunit ribosomal RNA
Source: RNAcentral
GAUCUGAAAUCAGGUAGGAUUACCCGCUGAACUUAAGCAUAUCAAUAAGCGGAGGAAAAGAAACUAACAAGGAUUCCCCUAGUAACGGCGAGUGAAGCGGGAAAAGCUCAAAUUUUAAAUCGAAUGGGGUACCCUAUUCGAGUUGUAUUUUCAAGAGACGUUUUCGGAUCGCGCCUGGGUAUAAGUCCUUUGGAACAGGGCAUCAUAGAGGGUGAGAAUCCCGUUUAUGACCCGGAGCGGCGGUCUAUGUGAUACGUUUUCAAAGAGUCAGGUUGUUUGGGAAUGCAGCCUAAAAUGGGUGGUAAAUUUCAUCUAAAGCUAAAUAUUGGCGAGAGACCGAUAGCGAACAAGUACCGUGAGGGAAAGAUGAAAAGAACUUUGAAAAGAGAGUUAAACAGUACGUGAAAUUGUUGAAAGGGAAACGUUUGAAAUCAGUCAUGUAAACGAGUAAUCAGCUUGGCUUUUGCCUUGUGCACUUUCUCGUUCGCAGGUCAACGUCAGUUUUGAUACUAGUCGGAUAAAAAAUCAAGGGAAUGUGGCUCUCUUUCACGAGGGGGUGUUAUAGCCCUGGUUAAAAUACGAUGAUUAAGACUGAGGUCUGCAGCCAAUACCCUUCAUGGGCUGGGUAUUUCUUUUGCUCAUAGGUAACCGAGUUUAGACAGCUUGCUGACUAGAUUUGAAUUGCUUGUGACUCGAAGGAUUUUAUCACAAAUUGGCUUAGGUCGCUGACKUAAUG